UAUAUAUUUAUAUGUUUAUAUAUAUACACACACUGUAUAUACCUUUUUGCGAACAGUACAUAGGGUGUACAACAAAUGUACAAAUGCACAAUAAAACAGACACAGUUACAAAGACGCUAAGUUCACAUUCAUCUAUUGCUGUGUCUAAACAUGCAUCUAAAGCAGAUGCACAUAAUAUUAUGUAUUUUAAUAAGUUGAAUAUGUCCAUGUUUCAUGCCCACGCACGGCCAGUGUUUUCUUCCCCUCUUUCAGGUCGAUUGGUGUGAUUGACAACCACCUGUGUCUGGCCACGCUGCCUGCAGACUGGCCAAUCAGCAGCCGGGACACACUCUACAAGAAGAGCAACCUGGACUCUCAGAUCCUUCCUGUAGCUGGAGGUUCAUGUUGAGAACGUUGUGAUAAGAGGGUAUGGACUAGACUGGUUUCAGGAUAUCUUUACAUACUGUUACGUGCCAGGGUGCUGUGUGAGAUAUCCCCAUUCCUGUGUUUGCUGUGUGCUUUGUGGGUCUGCCCAUUCUGCUUGUCCCACAGGUGCCUUCAAUUCCACAGUCAAGCUGUGGACAUAAAAAGCUGGCGCCACACUGAUAGCCUGUGAACCUGCAAGCUACUUUGUAGCUGCAUGUUUUCUCCACUCAACCUUUUUCUUACCCUUUGUUGGCAACAGUGCGUGUGAUUUUUUUUUACUUUGGUGGUUUAAACUUGGUUUGAUCUGGUUGUUUUAAGUUAAUGGUGUUUUUUCCCUCUUUUAGGCCGAUCAGCUACUUUUGGAGCAGCUGGCUUUAAGUUUACAUUCUGCUAAUUCAUUGUAACUAAACUUUUUAGACGGUUCUGUUCCUCUGUCUCUGCCUUUCUUUUAAAAUAUCUCGAGGUUUGUUAUACGUUGUUAUGUAACAAUACACACGUAGGGUUUUGCCACUUCAUAUCACUUGUUUAUGGGUUGUGCCACUCCCUGUAUUUUGAGAGAUGGGCCCAUUUUUGGUUUGUUUUCAUUAGUUUGGCACAAACCCUUGGCCCUACCCUGAUCCACCUUUUUUGUUAUCCUGUUUUGUGAAAACACCUUAAAAUAAACAUUUGAGUUACUUGCACCUGCACCCCUGGCUUUCUCCUUUCUUUGCUUGCUCCGUGUUGCCAUCUCACCCCUACGUGAUGUAACAGUCCAAGAAAACAAGUACCUUACCUUCUUGUUAGUCAAGUUUUUAUGAUUUGUGCAAAACAUUCUCAUGUAGAUUCUCAUUCAUCCAGGUCAUAGUUACCCAAAAGUCCCUCAGUCAGCAGCAGUCCUCAUCUUCAAGUCCAGUUUCUUCUGAGUGAGUGAACUUUGGAUAUUUGUGGGCACUGUCAGGUCGCAGCGGCUCCUGUUGCACCUCCGCCCUGUCCUGAAGAAUUGACUGCUCCUCCCCUGCAGCCUGGGAAACUCAAAUAUAUGCACACACACACCCUCCCCAACAAGUGUGACAGGAUGCUUUGGCCACAAACAGUCCGGUCCACACUGCACAGAGACUAACAGCAGCUGAUUCAGCUGCAUGUACAGAAGAAUAGAAAAAAAGAAAGCCACAAGUCUGUGCCUGUGCCUGUGCCCAGCAGACAGCUGCACACAGGUUGCCAAAGGAACUGUUCGGUGAUCCAAGGUCGAUGGGGCAAGAGGAUGCUCCCCGAGCACUGCCCAGUGUGUCCCUGGGGAAAAGAAGCAGCUCCAGUGCUGUCCAACAGCAGACCUACUCAGCGUCCAUCUUCCUCCGCCGCAAAGAGAAGCGGAUACAGGUUUUUCUGUAUGACUAAAUGCACCGAGUUACUGUCAAGUCAUUGGAUGAUUAGAUCUUUGAGUUAACAAGCAGAUGAUCACGUGAUGGUACCUGAUGAAGUGGCUGGUAAGUGUAUGGUUUUCACUUAAGUGACACUUCAACUAUACUGCAGUGGAGCGUAUGUAUCCCUUUCUGAAAGAUUUAAUGCCAUUUCACUCUGCACUAAUGCCUUGGUUGGCUGCUCCUUUCUCUUGUACACACGUGACCUAUUGGUUUGAGGGGCUGUGCUGCUGCUGCUGGUGGUGGUGGUGGCGGCUCUGCUCACUAAUGAGGUUGUGUCUGAAUGAAACAACUUAAGAGGAUCACAAUUUUCACGACUACAUCAUCCACAAACUUGCUUUGGCAUGUGGCCCGGCUGUCUCAUGUCCCCAGUCAGCCAUCACUCAGGACACAGCACCCAUUGGAGAAAAGGAAAUGACAUCCUGUUCGUGAAUGAAAACCUGCUGCUGGGCUUUCGGUGCUACAUCGUGGCGCCUUUCACACUGACACACAGGGGUGUGUUUGAAUGGGAGGAGAAAACGGCAUCAGUCAUACUUAUAUGGGGACUAAAUGUCACGCUGAAUGAUGAUUAUUGUGCGCCAGAGCAGAGCGUGUGCAGGGCAAACGCAUCUAUGCAGCUUCUGUGAUGUUUCUACACCUGUUUGAGGAUGAAAACAUUCCUAAGAUGCUGUGCAUUAAAGCCUUUAC
Solea senegalensis (Senegalese sole) is the source of this 2489-nucleotide long non-coding RNA. RefSeq lists it as uncharacterized. The record is from RefSeq and is a predicted model, not a curated record. NCBI's taxonomy places the organism in Eukaryota, Metazoa, Chordata, Actinopteri, Pleuronectiformes, Soleidae. The transcript has 3 exons.